GACAAGUUUCACACAGUAUUAGGAAGGAAGGGGGAGGUACUUGCAGCAUUUGGCUUCAGCCUAACUGCUUUCAUAUUCCUUUUGUUAGUACAAACUGAGCAAAAGGGAUAUUUAUUCAUAGUCUUGUGGCUACAAAGAUGAAAGCAAAUCGGGACUUUAUAAUAGUCGUAUCACAAAAAUGCUUUGAUACAGUAUUGAAUUUUCUUUCAUGCUAUGAUACAGGUACAUGUCAUUGUUGGAGCCACUGUCUUUUUGAGUUUAGGCUGCAUAUUCUGAGUUGUACCAUGGAGCUGACCUCCUGCGAUUGACUGCCUUCAGCAGUGAAGCUGCAGCACCAUCACCCACACGAUCGACCUGUUCACAAGAAUUGAGGUGUCUGUUCUACGUCCGGAAAUGGAUAUGAUACGUCAAGCUAUAACGAUUACGAGUCUAUAAUCCAUAGAAAAGGCAACACGGCUGCAGCAGCGAAAGAGAAAGAAUUAGCUUGGAAGAAAAUAGCUCCUCGAGUCAAUGCUUAGUUGAGGCUAGAACAACUGGUGGAGGACCUGCACCUCCACCACUGACGCAUGCAGAGGAGAAGGCCCUCGGCAUGAACACUGGAAAGCAGGGGCUGAAGUAAUUCCUGGAGGGAGUUCAUCAGAACCAGUCACUCCCCAGGAUACAAGUGCAUGUGUAAAAUCCAACAGAAAGAAGGCAGAGACUAAAACAACUGGUGGAGGACCUGCACCUCCACCACUGACGCAUGCAGAGGAGAACGCCCUCAGCAUGAACACUGGAAAGCAGAGGCUGAAGGAAUUCCUGGAGGGAGUUCAUCAGAACCAGUCACUCCCCAGGAUACAAGUGCAUGUGUAAAAUAUUCUGAUAGUAAUAUAUGAAUCCUCCUGUCACAACAGAAGCCCAGGAUGUUAGUGUGAAAGAACAGCAGGAGGAGAUCAGUCGCAUUCUGCUGCACAGAUGCACACAAUUCAGUGAUGUUCAAUAAAUGCCAGAGUUCAAUUCCGUAAGAGUAAUGAGGAACUAUGUCUUGUAACUAUAAAUCUUCUGUAUUUUAAGUUACCGGUCAUUGAGUUGUAUAAACUAAAUCUCAAGGAAAUAUCACACUUGUACCACAAGAUUGAAAAGGCAGAUCUAGAAAUUGAAAUUCCCAAACACAAGCUGGAGAUGAGUGUAUAGUUAAAGGUGAAUUGUAUGAAUUAUUGGAAGAAUCAUAAAAUCUAACAAUUGCCUUUGUAUUUGUAGGAAAUGAAAAAAAACAACAAAUAAAUUAUGAUUUGCAUCUAUUCAGUUUCUUUUAUUGGUGGUGGUGGUGAUGGUUGAUUAAGACAUUAAAGCAAAUCACAGCUGACUGUCCAUCCACUCUGCAGAUUACUGUGAUGGAAGGUGUCUCCUCAGGGUCUUGUAUUUGUAGGGCAGGCUGUUGCUCCUCUCUAAUAAUUGCAAUAAUGUGGAGAACAACACAUGUCACAGUAAUGUCACAGGCCUCUCAGGUGUUUCCCUGAGGUGACUUAGGCACUGAAGACGUGC
This is a long non-coding RNA of Betta splendens (Siamese fighting fish), 1524 nucleotides long. RefSeq lists it as uncharacterized. NCBI's taxonomy places the organism in Eukaryota, Metazoa, Chordata, Actinopteri, Anabantiformes, Osphronemidae. The transcript has 5 exons. The record is from RefSeq and is a predicted model, not a curated record.